UACAGAGGGUGCGAGCGUUAAUCGGAGUUACUGGGCGUAAAGGGCGCGUAGGCGGUUAGAUAAGUGAGAUGUGAAACCCCCGGGCUUAACCUGGGAAUGGCAUCUUAAACUGUUUAGCUAGAGUACUGUAGAGGGUAGUGGAAUUUCCGGUGUAGCAGUGAAAUGCGUAGAGAUCGGAAGGAACACCCGUGGCGAAGGCGGCUACCUGGACAGAUACUGACGCUGAGGCGCGAGAGCGUGGGGAGCAAACAGG
This 253-nucleotide ribosomal RNA is filed under the name uncultured bacterium. Its description in RNAcentral is "partial 16S ribosomal RNA". It matches the Rfam family "Bacterial small subunit ribosomal RNA", at positions 524 to 776 of the family's 1533-position model. The record is from RNAcentral.